AUAACAUCCGGAAACGGGUGCUAAUACCGCAUAGUUUCUUGAUCGCAUGAUCGGGAAAGGAAAGACGGCCUUUGUGCUGUCGCUUAUGGAUGGACCCGCGGCGUAUUAGUUAGUUGGUGAGGUAACGGCUCACCAAGACGAUGAUACGUAGCCGACCUGAGAGGGUGAUCGGCCACAUUGGGACUGAGACACGGCCCAAACUCCUACGGGAGGCAGCAGUAGGGAAUCUUCCGCAAUGGACGAAAGUCUGACGGAGCAACGCCGCGUGAGUGAAGAAAAGGGUUCUCGGAUUGUAAAACUCUGUUGUCAGAGAAGAACAAGUUGGAGAGUAACUGCUCCAGCCUUGACGGUAUCUGACCAGAAAGCCACGGCUAACUACGUGCCAGCCGCGGC
RNAcentral lists this ribosomal RNA (393 nucleotides) under uncultured bacterium. RNAcentral's name for it is "bacterial SSU rRNA". It matches the Rfam family "Bacterial small subunit ribosomal RNA", at positions 143 to 518 of the family's 1533-position model. The record is from RNAcentral.